CCCUUUGUGGGGGACAACAGUUGGAAACGACUGCUAAUACCGCAUACGCCCUUCGGGGAAAGAUUUAUCGCCAAAGGAUUAGCCCGCGUUAGAUUAGGUAGUUGGUGAGGUAACGGCUCACCAAGCCGACGAUCUAUAGCUGGUCUGAGAGGAUGAUCAGCCACACUGGGACUGAGACACGGCCCAGACUCCUACGGGAGGCAGCAGUGGGGAAUAUUGCGCAAUGGGGGCAACCCUGACGCAGCCAUGCCGCGUGAGUGAAGAAGGCCUUCGGGUUGUAAAGCUCUUUCAACUGUGAGGAUGAUGACAGUAGCAGUAGAAGAAGCCCCGGCUAACUUCGUGCCAGCAGCCGCGGUAAUACGAAGGGGGCUAGCGUUGUUCGGAAUUACUGGGCGUAAAGGGCGCGUAGGGGACUAUCCAGUCAGGGGUGAAAGCCCGGGGCUUAACCUCGGAACUGCCUUUGAUACUGAUAGUCUAGAGUUUGUGAGAGGUUAGUGGAAUACCCAGUGUAGAGGUGAAAUUCGUAGAUAUUGGGUGGAACACCAGUGGCGAAGGGACUAACUGGCACAAUACUGACGCUGAGGCGCGAAAGUGGGGAGCAAACAGGAUUAGAUACCCUGGUAGUCCACGCCGUAAACGAUGUGAACUAGUCGUCGGGAUUUAGGUCUCGGUGACGCAGCUAACGCAUUAAGUUCACCGCCUGGGGAGUACGGUCGCAAGAUUAAAACUC
RNAcentral lists this ribosomal RNA (730 nucleotides) under uncultured bacterium. Its description in RNAcentral is "bacterial SSU rRNA". It matches the Rfam family "Bacterial small subunit ribosomal RNA", at positions 130 to 902 of the family's 1533-position model. The record is from RNAcentral.